Molecule: ribosomal RNA, 506 nt
Filed under: uncultured bacterium
Lineage: Bacteria
Description: partial 16S ribosomal RNA
Rfam family: Bacterial small subunit ribosomal RNA
Source: RNAcentral
AGUGAACGCUGGCGGUAGGCCUAACACAUGCAAGUCGAACGGCAGCACAGGAGAGCUUGCUCUUUGGGUGGCGAGUGGCGGACGGGUGAGUAAUGUCUGGGAAACUGCCCGAUGGAGGGGGAUAACUACUGGAAACGGUAGCUAAUACCGCAUAACGUCGCGAGACCAAAGUGGGGGACCUUCGGGCCUCACGCCAUCGGAUGCGCCCAGAUGGGAUUAGCGAGUAGGUGGGGUAAUGGCUCACCUAGGCGACGAUCCCUAGCUGGUCUGAGAGGAUGACCAGCCACACUGGAACUGAGACACGGUCCAGACUCCUACGGGAAGCAGCAGUGGGGAAUAUUGCACAAUGGGCGCAAGCCUGAUGCAGCCAUGCCGCGUGUAUGAAGAAGGCCUUCGGGUUGUAAAGUACUUUCAGCGGGGAGGAAGGCGGUGAGGUUAAUAACCUCGCCGAUUGACGUUACCCGCAGAAGAAGCACCGGCUAACUCCGUGCCAGCCGCCGCCGUAA